GUGAAUCAUCAAAUCUUUGAACGCAAAUUGCACUCCCUGGUAUUCCGGGGAGUAUGCCUGUUUGAGGGUCGUUAGAAGUAAAAUCGAAGCAUCGCUCUUUUUUUGAGGGUGAUCGCGUAGGAAUUGAGCCGUCUUUCAAAUGUUAACUUAUGUCAUAGUGGUUUAAAAUUUAUCCAUCCGGCAUGAUUAAAGUGUUUUUAAGAUCAAUCUUGAUUAAGAACGUGCGAUGACGUACCAUCUUAUGUAGUAGGUUCGACUGGGGUCAUCAGUCUCAUUCG
This 278-nucleotide unclassified non-coding RNA is filed under the name Funneliformis mosseae. RNAcentral describes it as "partial contains 5.8S ribosomal RNA and internal transcribed spacer 2". The stretch from base 1 to 71 matches the Rfam family "5.8S ribosomal RNA", at positions 84 to 154 of the family's 154-position model. Lineage: Eukaryota; Fungi; Glomeromycota; Glomeromycetes; Glomerales; Glomeraceae. The record is from RNAcentral.